GAAGGCUUCUGGCGCGAAGUGCACUUCACAAAUGCAUGCAUUUUUAACAUUAAUUUUGUCCGUACGACGACAAAAAUGAAUCCAUUGUUUUUGUAUUGUUUUAUCUUUAGGGAAAUGGAAAAAUCUCCAAUUUCGUAGCACAAUAUUUACCAUUAUUAUUAUUGCAUCCGAACACUACGCAACGCAUUUUAAAAAAUUUAAAAUUUCACAAUCAAUACAACACUUGAAAACACAAUUCGAAUUCACUUUUAAGAGCGCGGGGGAAUAAUAAGUCAACCGUGACGUCAGCAAGAACAGCUGACUGAAACAUGCGCAUUGCGUAAUCUCUUUCUCUAUCAUUCUAAUGUUUUCAACAUACCUCCUCAAAAGAAGCAUCUGAACAAAACAAACCAAUAAAAUAACCAAUUAUAAGCCAUUUAAAAAUUAUAAUUUUUAUAAAUAGUAAUUAAAUUUAAAUUUAGUAGUCAAUUUCAGAUCCUUUUAUAAGCCCCAUUCCGUUUCUCGGACUCAGAAACUUAGCUGCAGACAAAGUCUUCGUCAACAUAUUGGCAAGCUGAUUCUCUGUGUAACUAUAUUUCGUGAUUAUUAUAGUAUAUUUACAUAUAACGGGAUUAUCUCCAUUAACGAGAUUAACUCGAUAAUCCGUAAUUAAGAAACGAGAUUUACCAUACAAAAUUCCUCUCUAGUUAAUCUGAGAUUAAAAGUUAAAAGUUAAUCUCAGAUUACACAACUAGAUUAGCGAUGUUAUUCCUAACUUUAUCGAUAAUUUUUUCGAAAAAGAUGAGAAAUGUCAAAUGACAAAGCAAACAAAAAUGGCCGACAGCGAGGGAAAGAGAGAUGAUAGGAAAUCUAUGGGUUCCUCUGGCGGCAGCCCUUCGAUAUGGGAAUUCUACCCUAGAAUAAAUAGUAACCUCUGGAGCUAUAAAAGCUUUAAUUUGCCAACAUUUGUGGAGGAGAGCACAGUUCACGAAGUUGUAGACUGUGCAUCACCCCUUAACAGCUCUUCCAUUACGCUGGAUUCCCAGGAAGAAUUGCUGUUUGUAGACGAGGAACCUGCAAGGGAAAGAAAAAAGCAUACCUCAAAUAAUAUUCACAAUGAAUUUUUGGAGGAAUUCCGGGAUUCAAAUAGAAAAAUUAAGGCGGAAAUUGAAGCAAUUAAAGAGAAAGAAAGCCAUUCUCGAAAAAUUCUUAGCAUUUAAGCAAAGCAAUUACGUUUUACACCACGAAGCAUAUAUCUAGCCCAGGAGAAGAUUUUUUUAUUUUAUAUUGUUAUUUUUUGUAAAAUAGCUGGUUCACAGCAUAGUGCUUUUCAACUCAUGUGGUAAGUCUUUUGUUCAUUUUUCUUGUGAGAUUUGGGCAAGAAUAACCUCACAAUUCAGUUGCUGAACACAUAGAGAGUGACAGACUUCAAGCGACAUCUGUUAAAUAUUACACGUUCUUAUGGACACCGUUCUUUAGACAGCUGCAAGACUGAAAAGUUUCAACAAAAAGUAGUGGAACUAAUGGAGAAGAAUCCAGAAGUUGGAAAAGUAAAGCCACAGUUUGGAAGCAAUAAAUUCAAAAACCAAAUUGUUGGAAAGUGUGGCAUUGCAGUUGAAUUGUUUAUGGCCACCAAGCUGAACUGUCUACGAAUGGGGACGAUGUGGAUUCGCUAUAAAGCAAAUUAAAAAAAUCUUGCUAAUAAUAGGAACAACUUGUGACUGGUGGUACACCUCUAGAGCAGUCGCUAAGCCCAAUGGAGGAGAGUGUGGCCCGGCUUAUUCAGAUAAGGGAGGCAGUUGCACCAAGAGGGCAAGCAUUAGGUGUCGAGUAUGUAUCACCUAUUUUCGCCGAUGUGACCCUUGAAGACUCACCUUUUUCUUCUCCACAUAUGCAAGAUCGCUCGACUCCUUCCAAAAGAGUUCAGUUGAGGAGGGCAAACUAUUGCAUGGAAUCGCAAAGGAAUUUUAAACAAAAUUAGACAGUUGGAGAAAACUUUGCCUAAUUAAUAUACUCUCCAAAAAGAAGCUUUGGAAUUAAAAAAAGAUCUAUGGAAGAAAGGCUAACGAGGCGCAUGAACUCUCUCUUUUUGUAACAUAGUUCAAGUUUAUUUUGAAAACAUGAAGUGAUAUUGUUAUUUCAAGAAUUUAUUUAAAUAAAAUUUAAAAAAAUAUAUAA
Long non-coding RNA from Bactrocera neohumeralis, 2157 nucleotides. RefSeq lists it as uncharacterized. The transcript has 5 exons. The record is from RefSeq and is a predicted model, not a curated record. NCBI's taxonomy places the organism in Eukaryota, Metazoa, Arthropoda, Insecta, Diptera, Tephritidae.